Molecule: ribosomal RNA, 379 nt
Filed under: uncultured bacterium
Lineage: Bacteria
Description: bacterial SSU rRNA
Rfam family: Archaeal small subunit ribosomal RNA
Source: RNAcentral
UACCGGCAGCUCAAGUGGUAGCCGCGAUUAUUGGGCCUAAAACGUUCGUAGCCGGAUAAGUAAGUCUUUGGUUAAAUCCUGCGACUUAACCGUGGGAAAUCUAGAGAUACUGCUUGUCUUGAGACCGGGAGAGGUUGGAGGUACUCCUAGGGUAGGGGUGAAAUCCUGUAAUCCUAGGGGGACCACCUGUGGCGAAGGCGUCCAACUGGAACGGGUCUGACGGUGAGGGACGAAACCUAGGGGAGCGAGCCGGAUUAGAUACCCGGGUAGUCCUAGGCGUAAAUGAUGCGAGUUAAGUGUGGGGGCAUCUACGAGAUGGCCCUGUGCUGUAGGGUAGCCGUUAAACUCGCUGCCUGGGGAGUACGGUCGCAAGGCUGAA